Non-coding RNA from Taeniopygia guttata (zebra finch), 2741 nucleotides. NCBI's taxonomy places the organism in Eukaryota, Metazoa, Chordata, Aves, Passeriformes, Estrildidae. The record is from RefSeq and is a predicted model, not a curated record.
UUAUUGAUGAUGCAGUCAUUUUAAUCCUCUGAGCAAGUGAUUUGUAUCAGGCAUGCCCCUUUUGCACAUUCAUGAACUCUGUCAGUUAAGAAAACUUGAAAGAGUUGGAAACACAGAAAAGCAAACUUAUUAGACUUCAGAUUUACUACAAAUUCCAGCUGGUGCAGUGGGUUCACAAAACAGAAAUGAGCAACUGCACAACCUGUAGAAGAAAUGCUGUUACUUAUUUAUAGUAUGCUGGGCCAUCUAGUAAGCUGGACAAGCAGUCUGCCCUUCUCCCAGCACGGCAACCAACAUCAUCUUCAAGCCACCAUCCAUGCAAAUAUCACAAGGAAUGGGUUCCUGUGCCAGGUGAAAUAGCCCUGAGUAUAUGGCAGAACGAGACCCGAUAUAUACUAGAAAGCAAAGGCAUCUUCUGUCCUCAGUUUCCAAAUUGACUGCUUGGUACUACUCCACAUGUAGAUAUCUUUAUACAACACUUGUACAAAACUAAGAAAAUUACAAUAAUCAGUACUAAUUUAUUUAUUUAUUACACAAUCAAAAUAUCUUAAAUACAGAGUGUGAUAAGUAAGAUACAGGAUGUUUGUUCAUCAGGAAAUUAAACUCAAGGGGGUUGGGUUGUGUAAACGUCAGAGACUUACCAUUGUAUGUAAUUACCAUAUAUGGGAAGGAAAUUUUUACAGAAUAAGCAAGACUUGGAAACAAUGCAAAGCAGACCUUAUGACCUGCUUGCAAAACCAGAUGAAGAUAGGAGAGAACCAGUCCGAAGGAAGAAGGAGGACUAUGAGAAGGGAGACGGAAUAGAGGAAGGGUGUGAGCCGUUGGUGGAGUGCGGACUCCCCGGCUACACCCAGCGCUGUUUGCUUGCUAUCGCUUGCUGUAAUCAAUAAAUUUUAAUUGGCUGAAACUUCAAGGCUGAUCAAAAUUAUUUGCCUAACCUAUGACAAAUUCGUUGCCGUGACUCAGAUCAGGAUAACCCGGGGGAUGAGCCCCUCUUGGGGAGGCGCCCUUGCCGACAUUUGCGGCAAGCCCCAUUUGGAAAAAUCCCCUGGGCUCCUGACCAACGAACCUAAAUUUGAUAGCAAGCAAAGAACUGCCGGCAACCCCUUAAUCUUUGUGAACGAAGUCCCGGGCGAAGACACUGGACGGUAGACUGCAGUCCGAAAAGCGGAAAGAGGAUGGACCCACGCCAGCCGAGUUAAGGGACCAAUUGCUACUGCUGCUGACCAGUGGAAAGCAAUCAGCCGACCCAGAAACCUGAAGGUCACUCUGAAGAAGAGUUAAUGGACUCGAGUUGGGUAAUUCAGGUGGAAUAUAAGGGACAACAGAUAGGAUGUACUUAUCCCUUAGCUAAUGAUUACAGAGUAAUAUGUAAAGAACCUCCAUGUGAUUGCUACCCUUUUGUAUGCUUUGCUCAUAAAAUUUGCCAAGAAUGGUGGUGGGUCCAUUGUCGCCGGGGUAGACCUCCUACGGGGAUCUGCUCUGAAUGCUACAAAUUAGAGCAGAAAGUAACAAGAACCACACUCGAGUUAGGGGAAUUGGGAAAUAAAUGGGUAAAGUUCGAAUCAGAGGAAUGGUGGGAAAUAUUUAGAAAAGGAAUUAAUCCUAACCAUUAUUGCUUUCAUUUAAAUGAACCUACCCCAUUUUUGGCUCACUUGGUCGACCGGUGUUGCCGGAAGAGUGUGAAAGGAAUACUGUGCACAUCAUCCUCAGUCAAGGAUAAGAACAAGUAUGAGACCCGAAAGGGGAAAAGGAGUGAAGGUACCCAUCAGUACCACUGCUGCCGAGAAGACGGUAACCCCCACGGCUUGAUGCACCCGAGUCAGCAGGCAAGGCAGAGGGGAAGGAACUGGGCCUCCUCCAAUCCCACCUGGAAUGUUGUUAAAAUGCUCCAGGAAUUGCUAACCGGGUAUUAACGAAUGUCGAAAAGAAGGCUGCUGGGAGAGCCAAGGUGCACCACGGAAUAAAUUGGGAACUCAGAAGCCCUAUGGGCCAGGAAUUAGGACCAGACUCCAACCUUACUGGCAAAUUCUAUGCACAUUAGUUAUAUGUUGUGUCCGGCCUGUACAAGGGGACUAUACACACCAACCGUUUAAUUGGACUCUGACCAGCAUCGAUCAAGGGAAGAUUGUUAAGUAUAAUGCCACCACAGGAUCUCCCACUUUUCUCGUUAAAAAUACCAGCCCACAUGCUACUGCUGGGACUGACAUUUGGGCCUUGCAUAUUUAACAAAAUACUAGAAAUAGUAAAGGGACGAUUGGAAGCAGCUCACCUUGUGCUGAUAAGAGCAAAAUACGAAACUCUCCCAGAGGAUCCUGAAAUCGGAGAGACUUUGAUGCUAGCUCACCAGGAGGUAAAGCGGUUUGAUGAACAAAAUGAUAAAAAGAAAAGGGGGGAUUGUGAUAAGUAAGAUACAGGAUGUUUGUUCAUCAGGAAGCGAAAUUCAAGGGGGUUGGGUUGUGUAAACAUCAGAGACUUACCAUUGUAUGUAAUUAUCAUAUAUGGGAAGGAAAUUUUUACAGGAUAAGCAAGACUUGGAAACAAUGCAAAGCAGACCCUAUGACCUGCUUGCAAAACCGGCCGAAGAUAGGAGAGAACCAGUCCGAAGGAAGAAGGAGGACUAUAACAAGGGAGACGGAACAGAGGAAGGGUGUGAGCCGUUGGUGGAGCGCGGACUCCCCGGCUACACCCAGCGCUGUUUGCUUGCUAUCGCUUGCUGUAAUCAAUAAAUUUUAAUUGGC